UCUUUCUUUUUUUUUUUUUUUUUUUUUUUGUAUAGAAUAGAGUUUAUUUAGGGGUUUAUUUAUUUAUUUAUUAAAGGUGUGUGCCACCACCCUCAGCUUACAGAAACUCUGCUAAAGGCAAACAUUUCAUUGGGGCUGGCUUACAGUUUCAGAGGUUUAGUCCAUUAUCAUCAUGGCAGGAAGUAUGACAGCCUGCAGGCAGACAUGGUGCUGGAGGAGCCAAGAGUUCUACAUCUUGAUCAACAGGCAGCAGGAGACUAUAAGUAGUUGGAGCAUAUAUAACCUCAAAGCCCACCUCCACUGCCACACUUUCUUGAACAAGGCCACACCUCCAAUAAGACCAUAUCUUAUUAUCUUAUAUAGUAGUGCCACUCCCUGUGGGCCAAGCAUUUAUACACAUGAGUAUAUGGGGGCCAUACCUGUUCAAAUCAUCACAGGUAGUAUAUUUGAUUUUACUCAGCAAAACUUUAUACUCUAGGAUUGUACUGAGUUUAUACUUUUAGACAUUUUUACUGACAUGUUUUAUUAAUGUGGUGCUGGGAAUUAAACCCAGGGCUUUGUGUGUAUUAGGCAAGCAUCAACUGUGCUAUAUCUCCAUCCUAUUUGUAUGUUUUUGUGUGUAUUUAUGUGGUAUAUGUAUAUAUUUGUGUGGGUAUCUGCAUGUGUAUACGGUUACAUAUAUAUGCAUAUAUGUGUGGAUAGAGAGUUUCUUCCUUAAUUGCUUCUCAAGUAACUUUUUGAGAUAGGAGGUCACACUGAAUUUAGGCUAGCUGGCCAAUGAGUUCUAGAGAUUUUCCUGUCUCUGCGUGCUCAGGCCUAGGAUUAUAGACAAAGGGCAUGCCCAGUAUUUUAGAGAGUGUGCAUAUGAGGGAGAUUCAGAACUCAGGCUCUUUACUGACUACACCAUCUUCUAGGUCCUCACACAUUCUUAAUGAAAGUUUAUUCUUAAAUAUAUAACACAGCUCCAAGACAACAUAUCAUCCCAGCCAUAGGUGGCAAGAGGUGCAAUUUGCCUUAGCAAGCAAGGCAGAUGUUUAAAUAGGAAGAGAACCAAGGGUCACCACAACCCCAAGCACAAGGAACAGCUUUGCUUUGCCAGCUUUCUUAAUUCUACCUGUGUGCAGAGGGCUCUCUCCAACCUUUGCUUCUAUCUCCCCGAGUUUCUUAUCUCUUCUCGUUUCAGCUUGAAUACGUCAUCUGUUUAGUUGUCUGCAUUAUGCCUCUUUUGGAAACUGCUGGUCAUUCGCACCCAGCUAUUCCUCUUAACUUCUGCUCCGUGUUUCUGUUACUCUUUGUCUUGUUCCAGUGUGGACCUCAUGGCUGUCAGCUCCUGCAGGCCUCCCUUCCCGCAGCUUCUCAGUUAGUUGUGGGUGAGCACAACAGUGGGCUGGGCAAUUUGAUGUAUGUAGAUCCUUUCAGUUCUGCUUUCGGUUCCUGUUUGGUGUUCCCCUUCCCAACUUUUGCCCCUGUGGCCUGUUGUCUACUAAAAUGCAGCUGUAAGAAGCUGCUUGGAAGAAGACACUGAUAACAAUCUUUCCCUUCUUCCUUGUACUCCUCUUUCUCUAUCACUGGCUUCUGCUGGUGACCUUCCCCUUAGGCCUGGAGUAAAACUCCUGUUGUAUGUGUUUGAUGAAUAGAAACGUUUCUGGCAGGAGUCUUGGAGAUCAUGGAACUGGACUCUUAGGCAUGCUGGAUUGACUGUGAUCUACGUUAUAGAGGGUGGCUGAUAAUUAAGAACAGAGGUUCUAGAGAGACAGACUGGGUUGAGAAUUAACUUUGUAACUAAAUACAAAUUAACUUCAGAAUUUUAGCUGUUAGCACAUUUUGUGCUUUAUGAGAUCUAGACACAAGACAUUUCAGUAGGUAUUCUAGAUUCAGUCCUUCUUACAAAUUAGUAAAUUUGUGACAUGAUCUUGGCCAGUUGCUUAAUCUCUCAAUUAUCCUGUACUAACAUUUAGAAUAACGUUGGCCAUGCUCAUCUCUGACUCACCUUUAAUUCUUUUGUCACUAGAGCCUCUAGUCUGUAGUCCUCUGCAGGGGAGCAGCAGUGUGGCACAGGUUUGGGGUUUUACCAUUGCACCACUUGUCCUUGGUGAGUUGAUCCUGUGCAGUAUUUCCGUCUUGACUUUGAACAAGAUAUAAGCAAAGUACAUUCCAACUCAACAGUUGUCAUUUCUACCACUGCAUAGCUGUGGCUUUAGUUUAUAGGCAGAUUAGAGAGGAAAGAGUAUCAGUAAGGAAGAGACCUGGUGCUAUGUCUUAAUUAUCUUCACUUCUAAUGCCUUACACAGUGCCAUUACAUGGUAGGUAGGGUUUUACUUCCCCUAUACCCCUGACUCAGAUGGAGUCUGCUGCACAUCAUGUACUGGCUUAGAAUUUGAGAUCCUCCUCCCUCAGACUCCUCUGCCAAGAGAGUGGAGUUUGGUUCUCAGCAUCCAUGUCAAGUUGCUCAUAACUGCCUAUGAUGCCAGAUCCAGGAUGAUCUGAUACCUCUGGCUUACCUACACAGAGACACACACAUACAUAAUUGCACAUAAAGAUAGUUCUACAUCAAUAAUUUUUAUUAUUUAUUUAGAAGAUAUAUGUAUGAAAGUGAAUUGUAAAAAUAUUUUUGUUAUGGCUCACAAUAUUUAAAAGUCCAGAACCCUUUUUUUUUUCCCCGAUACAGGACUUCUCUGCAUAGCACUGGCUGUCCUGGAACUCACUCUGUAGACCAGGCUGGCUUCGAGCUCAAGAAGUCUGCCUGCCUCUGCCUCCCAAGUGCUGGGAUUAGAGGCAUAGGCCACCACUGCUCAGCUGUAUCUUUCUUUUUGACAGUGCUUUAUCCAUGCUAGGCAAGUGCUUAGUCUUUCAUAUCUAAUUGAAUAUAUUGCAACUCUUUCUUGAAAUGUGGGUUUUAACUGAAGUUAUAGAAAUUGGCCUGAUCAAGCUAUUAAAGGAUAAUAAUUGUGUCACUUUUUAAUCUGUUGACUCAAUAUCUCUGGUCUUUCCUUGAUAUUAUGAUACCUAUAUGUUGUGGGUAGUAGUAAGAAUCCCUGGUGAAUGUGUUUAUUUUCCACAUUAUUAUUUAGCCUUUAUAACAAUCUUGUAAGAUUGUUGCUCAUUUUAGAAGUGAGACUAUUGGGAUUUAGAAAGAUCAAAGGAAGACACAUCUUGUUUAUUCUAUUUGUAAAAUAACUAGUUUUUCAAGCUGAAACUGUAACUAAUUUGUGGUGUACUUGUAAAGUGGGGUCUUGUUACUCUUAGAAAUUAUGGUCUUGAAGCACAUAUGAUGGUGUAGGAAAAUGCUCACGCAUCAAUGAUAAAGGAAAACAGAGAAGUGAGUGCAUUAAUACAUUUCCCGCUGCUCCAACCAAGCGUCUGAAGGUGAGGACUUUAUAAAUAACAGGACAGUGUUGAGUGUGACAGCUUAGGUAGCAGCAGGGCAUUUCCGGUGGCUGUAUCAUAUCACUGCUACAUCUAAUACAGGGACAUAUUAUCUGAUAUGACAGGAAGCCAGAGAACACAGAGGAGGCAGCUCAUUCUUUUACAACAAGUCUUAGGAAAACUCAUUUCCUGAGUUAAUUUCUUAGAGGAGAGUGACUCCAAAUGACCUACUUAGCUCCCACUAGGCUCCACCUCUCACAGGUUUCACCACUUCCUAACAUCUUUGCUCAUGACCAAACUCUCAGCACGUGAAUCUGUGGAGAGGACAAACUACAUCCAAACCACUGCAAAUAUGUAUUUAAGUUCAUCUAUUUAUUGGCUGCUUGUUUUAUUCUAUGCACUAUUCUGGUGACUAGGGGAAAGACUUUCUCUAUAGUAUUCUGGUGGAGGGGUGAUCAAGUACAAACUCAAGAGAUAGGUGUGUGUCUGGUGAGAACCAUUCUAAGGCCAGUGUGGCUCGGGUACAUGUGUCAGGAAAGGAGAGGUAGGGCACAAGUUAGUAAGGUAGAAAAAGGGGACAGAUUACAUGGGGACCUUGACUACUAUAAAGAAUAGUCUUCAUUAAGAAUUAGGUGAGAAGCCUUUUGAAUAUUAACAGCAGAAGAGUGGCAUGUUCUGACUGAUGUUUUAACAAAUGUGAUCUGGCUAUUGUGAUAUGAAUGGGCUGGGGAGGAGAACCAGCUGGAGCAGGAAGAGUAGGUUACUGCAAAUAAUAAUUAUAAAUCAGAUUACAGUGUUGGCUUGAAUUAGUAGCAUAAUAGUGGAAGCAUACUAAAUGCUCAAGUUCAGGAAUUUUUUGAAGAUAUAGUUUAGAAGCAUAAUUGAUGACUUAGAUGUGGGGUAAAAGGUAAAUGGAAGUUGAGGAUGGGUUCAUGGUUUCUUGACCUGACAGAUGAAAUUGUCAUGGACUAAGACGGGAAAGGCUUUGGGAGGAGUACAUUUGGCCAUGGGAGGAGAUAAAGAACUUGUUCCUAGAUGUGUUACUUGAGUCAGAAGUUCAGCAGAGGUAGAGCAGGAGGCAUAGUUGAAGCUGUUUUAGGAUGCCGAUAAGCUGUGACGUCAAGGCUGGGAAAGCACAACAGAGGAGCUAGUGAAGAUGUUUCCUUAUAGAUGGAUGGACGUUCUUCUUGGCUGAGGCUGGUGAAGCAUGUGUGCAUUUUCUGUUACUCUGGAGGCAGAGGUAGGAGGAUCACAUGAUCCUAGGCCAGCCCAGACAGCCAGGUGAGACAUGGCCAUUGAAACAACACUUCAAGGGUAUGAUUACAGCCAUUGGCCACAGGAUUUAAGCUGUGUAAGCAGGCGAGUGAGGCUAAGUGCAGUUAAGGGCAGUAGUGAGGCUGAAGGACUUAGGGACUCAUGACAGAAGUAGUGAAGAGUGAUGGCUGAAGAAAGCGGGAGUGCUUGACACUCACUGCAAGGCUUGUGUGACCAGGGAUGACAAGAUCGAGGAUUUGAAGAAGUGGAAGAUGGAACAAGACACUUAAGAACAAUUCCACCUGUGUCAUGUGGGGUGGUAGUAAGCAAGGGGGUGAACUACCAUGGAAGAGGAGCCAGGACCUGGGUCACUGGUGACUGCACAAGGCAGCUGGCAGCGUUGUUUAGCUUGAGGGUGACAUUUUAAGGCAGGAAUUGAGGAGGAAGAAUAGAGACUUAGAAGCAAGGAGUAUACUCACCUCAACUGAGAGAAACAGAAUCUGGGCAUGUCUGAAAGGAAGUUAAAGUCACAGAAAUCAGGCCAGAGUCGGCAUUGGCUCUGACCCUUUGAUCUCUCCCCAUGUGUCUGCUUUUAGUCCCUUCUGGCUGUAGCGGGAAGACAUUCGUACACUCACUUCCAUGGUUCCCCCACAAUUGCUUUUAAGCUGUUCUCAAAUCCCUUCUUAGGUGGUCUCUUUGAACCCUUCCCUGCCUGUCUCCAUUUGCUCCUUCCCAAGUCCAUGCCUCUUUCCUCCCAGCCCCAAAUAAUUCCAAUAGUAACCAAUAGACGUCAUCCGAGUUAGUACUGUGUGCCAGGCAGUGCUCCAAGCACUCUAUGCGUAUUAACUUAUUGAUUCUCAAAGUGAUCCUAGCUGUGACAUCUUGGUACUCAGGCCUCUAACUUAUUCAUGGGGAAACUGAACGGCAGAGUGUUACCUAGCUUAAUCCCCCUUCCAGUCUGCCGCCUGAUAUUUCCCUGUUAAAUUUCUUGUAGGUCUUACUCAGAACUAGUCUCAUCUGGUUAGGUAAUUUAGUCUGACAUUCUCUCUGCAGGCCAAUUAUUACAAAACAUUUAGUACAUAAGUAGAUAUCACUCGUGGCUUUGGAGACCACAGAUUGACUUCUCCUGCAGAGCUUAUUUUCUACUUGGGCAAUAAAAAUAUAACAAGCCAAUAAAUAUUAAGAUUACAGCUGAGGGACCGGAGCAGUGGCUCGGUGGUUAAGAGCCCCAGCACCCACAUGGUUGCUCACAACCAUCCAACCUCCAGUCUCAGGGGUCCAAUGCCCUCUUCUAGCCUCCAAAGGUACUUCACACAUGUGAUGCACCGACAUACAUGAAGGCAGAAACACCUAUACACACAAAAUAAUAAUAACAAAAAAGAUUGUAAUAGUUAUCUUGAAAGAAAUAGUUAGGGGUGGUUGGGUGUGAGGCACGUGUGGAUAUGGAGUACAGCAGUUGGCAAAGCUAAGUACAACAGGGUUCUGUGUGCCUGUGUGUGAGGACAGCUUCUCUGAGGAAAGGACGUUGGAUCUGAGCAGAAAGAAGACCUUAAUGCCUGAGGUGUCCAUUACUUUGGGCUCUUCUUUUUCUUGUGCUCUUUGUGCCUACAGUGCUUGAGUUGAUUCCACCUUUAGUCUAUUCUUUUCGUUUGUGUAUCCCUCUUGUUGUAGUUCCAUUGAUGUGGCAUCCUAACUUCUGGAAGAGGAGAGCAGUUGGUUGUUCCUGAAGAUCCCUCUCUAUUGUUCUUCUGUGGGCCUCAUUAAUUAUGUAAAUUAAGCCACUUUCAGGCUCAGAAUGUGCCCUGACUCCUUCUGCAGAGCCUGUGUUGGUGACUAAUGCCUAUAAUCCCAGCACUUGGGAGACUGAGGCUGGAGGGUUGUGAGUUCAAGUCAGCUUGGCCUGCAGAGUGAGACCCUGUGUUAGACCAAUGGAGGGGUGGGGAGAACAGAAUCCUGUAGCACAGGGUUUCACUCUGUGGCUGCAGCCCACUGUUAGGUUUCUAAUCUGUUCUCCACACAUGUUCGCUCCUUUCCUGGCUCUGUUCCGCAGCCCACAUUGUUCCCUUCAGUUGGCUCUCUGUUAGCCUUUCCUGCCUUUAUCAUUCUCAUCCAUUCAUCCAUGUCUUAAGCUCUUUAGAAGACUCUGCCACAGCCAGGAGUCAUUCAAUAUCUGGAGAGUAUGGCUGGCCAGCUCUUUAUACUUUUAUGGUGGCAGGAAUCUUUUUCCUUCCUUGUGUUAUGGUAUUUGUUUUGUAUCCUUCUAGUCAUGCCCCACCCCCUAUCUUCUUUAGACAUGUUCUCAGUAGAUAGUACAGGCUAGCUUCAAACUGAUCCAUUUGUGUCUAUAUCCAAAGUGCGUGGAUCACAGAUAUGUGCCACCAUAUCUGACUUCUUACUCGUUUAAAAAAAAAAAAAAAAAAAAAAACUAAACCAUUGUCUUGAAAACAUCCAUGUUGUCCCAUGGCAUGCUGAGUAUUAGUGUUCUUAGGAUGCUGUCUUCACUGUUCUUCUUAAUCUGUUUCAUUUGCCUUCCCUGUUGUCCACUUCAACAGAUAUCAAAAUAAGGAAGAGCUGCGUGUGUGGGGGACGGUGAUAGUUAUAUAAGUUUAUGUCCCAAGGGUCUGCCUCUUCCUCAUGAGCACGCGAGAGCUCUUUUCAUUCUGUUCAUUUCAAUAGUCUGCAAGCUGCAGCGAGAAUUUUAUUUUGAUCCUUCUUCCAGCUUGCCUACAAAGAGAUUCAGAAGGUAACAACUGAGAUCUAGACUUUUCUUUGCUAUAUAGAUGGUAGCUGUAGAAAGGGUAAUCAAAUGAAAACAUUAGGGAAAAUGUGGGCUGAGAAGAUACCUCACGCAGUUAAGUGCUUGCCUUGGAAGUAUGAGGACCAGAGUUUAAUGAGUUCGGCGGCCUACAUUUGUCAUCUCCAGACCUGGGAAGGUGGAGGGGGCGGAUCCCUUGCACUUGCUGGCUAGCUAGCCUUGCCUGGUUGCCGAACUCCAGGCCAGUGAAAGACCUUGUCUCAAACCAAGCUUGCAUAGGAUUUGAGGAGUUACAUCUGGCUUCUACACGUGGGUGCACAUGCAUGUGUACAUAUACACACAAUAAAAGGAAAAAAAGUCUUUUUAAAGGUCACUGUUGGUUGUAAGGGGUUGUAAACAUGGGUUCCAGGAACCAAAUUCCAGUCCUCAUGUUUCCAAGGCAAGCACUUAACUGACUUGGGGUUAAGGGUGGGGCAAGAGCAUGUGUGUGUGUGUGUUUAAAGAAAGUAUUUGUGUGGUGGUUAAUUGCCUCCCAAUAAAACUUACUAGAGAGUUUAGAGAGUUAAAGGAAACAUUUUGUUUUUUCAUUUACAAACCAAGUCUAAUUAUCUAUAGAUCUUCAUUUGCCCUGGCAUGCAUUACUAACUCAGGUUGCUGUGCAGUGCUACCAUUGGUGAGAAGUUAGUUGUCUCCGGUUGUCCACGCCUCUGCCCAGCCCAAGACGCUCUUCCUGAUCACAUUUUAUAGGCUGACACUUCACUUAGGUAAAACCAGGUUGUUAAUGCCAGAUUCUCUGGGGGCUUUCUCUGAACCGUGCUGCAAUCUGGAGAUGAGAAGAAAAACUUUCCUUUUGCUUUCUGAAGGUCAUGUGCACGGAUUGAAUAGGAGAACAUAGACUCACAUGACUGUUAACAUGCGCAGUUGCACAAGGAAAUGUCACAGCAGUACGGCCUCUGAUGAUUCAAUAUGGUUCAGGUGCUUAUUCUGAAAGGGUAAGAGAGAAUGGAGACAAUUUUGAAGGCUCCUAAUUCUGGAGACAGAAAUUAGUUUGUAAAAUUAAUCUCUUUGAAUUGGAAAGGAGCCUAUGGGACAGACAUCAUCAUGUGGCAAAAUUCAUUCCUCAGCCCUCCUUUUGUUACAAAUAAUGAGACUUGACUGGGGCUUUGAAGUAUGAAACAGUGGUGGAGGUUCCGUCCAGGCACAAGGUCUUUCAUGUAUUCAAGUCUACCUUAGAAUUUCUUCCCACUAUAUUAUAGAAAAUUUGUGGUUUUGAGAGGAAGACAGUGCUCUUAAAAUUUAUCACUACGUUUGAAUUAAUAUAUUAUUGAUUCAUAUUUCUUCUCCAGCCAUGUGGUGUGGUGUGUGUGUGUGUGUGUGUGUGUGUGUGUUUGUGUGUUUGAGCCUUGAUUCAAGUGUCACUUUAGGAAAGUUUUCCAUGAAAGUCCACAUAUGAUAACAAAAAAGCAUGCUAUAUUUCUCUAAGCACCACAAGUUUGGGCAAUGACAUUGUGAUUUAAUAACCCAAUUUAAAUAAGGAGCUAGAAGCCCUAAUGGCUCUGACUCACCAGACAGGAAAGUAAGGAAGUACUAGUUAUUGUUUGUCAAUUUCUUUUCCUUUGCAGUUUGAAGCAGGGUCAUGCUGCAGACACUGUCCUUUUCAACACUCGGAAGCCUCUGCCACUUCCUGCCACUGGGCACUUCUUCCCGUUAAGGGGCAGGUCCUGGGACACAGUAUGGAAACGCAGGGUGACAGCUCUCUUAUCCUUGGUGCUGAUGGGCCUCCUAUCCCUUGACCAUUGUUUUUCCCGGAUAAUGAGAUAUUCAGGCUAAGAGGAGACUUCUGUCUGCCUGUGUUUGUGCUCUAAUCGUUCAGGUAGGGCAUGACCACUCUUUAUAAGGCAAGAGUUCCUGUGAAUUGAACCUCUUUUCUCAUUGGACUGCACCUACCUCCAUCUUGGUUGUCUGUGGCCCUGGAAGGUCUGCUCUAGUACAGUGGCUCAGCUUUCCUCUCACACGCCUCACAAGUGCAGGCAGCUCUAGGUGACAAUGAGCUUUCCUCUCACACGCCUCACAAGUGCAGGCGGCUCUAAGUGACAGUGAGCUUUCCAUGGCUUGACUUGAAGUUCUAAAUCAUCUGACCUUGGCCCUCUAAGAUGUCUCGUCUCUUUAUCUCUGCUCAGCUCAUGGAGAGCUGAGAUAUUAUUACAUGACUUUUAAUCACACGCACACACACACACACAGAUAUAUACUCCUUAAUAUAUAAUACAUAAGACCUUGAUGAAAAUUGGCUUUGCCUUUUCAGGUUGAGCACCUUAACACUAAAUGCUUAUAUUCCUUAGUGUCCUUCCCAGAUAUAAGUAUUGCAGAUUAGGAAAGAUUAUAGCAAAGAUUAGUGUUCUGGCACUGCCUUCUAUCCCUGCUCUACUAUUUUUCAUGUCUCUUAGGAUUGGGUGAUUUCAUCAUCUUCACAUACAUUCCCCAAAUCGCGUCAACUGGAACCUUUCGGUUUAUAUAACUUUCUCCUAGUUUAUAGCAACCUCAUCAGCUCUAUCCCUUCCUUUGUUCUAGUGCUGCCCAGUCAGUUUAGGACCUUACUGCAUUCUAGGCGGGUGCUGUACCACUGAGCCACACCCCAGCCCCAGUCCAUGCUGCUUCUUUACAUUACUCGGGGUUACUGCCUGUUCUGUGUUAUUCCAGGUUACAGUAUCAGUUACUUUCAUUCUCUCUGUUCUUUCAGCCCCAGACCUGCUACUUUUCUCUUCUAGUCCAGCCUUACUGGACCCUGCUUCAAUCCUAAUCCUCCUACAAGACUUUCUCCAACUGAUCCCACCUGGUGUAAGAGCUAUCCUUCCGCACAGUGCCCUGGAAUUUACCAUCUGUGGCAUCCAUUUUGUUAGAUGUACUCUAAUUUGUGAGACCACCCAAACUAUACUUAUUUCUUGGAAUGUGAUUUGACAGGUUCUUUAUUGUUCUUUAUAGAGAGCUAUCCUCUUAGGGAGGUAAUGGCUCAGGCUAUUUUGACUUUCUAUUAAGAUAAAAAUAAUUUGAAAAUCUGUGGGUUGGUUGCUUAGUGUUUAAAAACUCCUAUGACCCACUAGAUUGAUUUUAUAGUCCACUGAUGGAUCAUAGCCUCCAUUUUAUAAAACACUGUCUAGCUGAUACAAAGAUUAAUGCUUCUCGUGAUGGAAACAUAAAGGCUGGGUACAAAUCUACUACAGGGUAAGCAUAAGGUAUUGGAAAAGAGACGUGUGAGCCUGGGAAUUCAGAGGAGGCAAAAUUCUACGGCGAAAACAACUUCCUUCCUUGAAGAUGGUUCUGAUUGAGGAAGAGACUUCCAUAUUUAUCUUUUAAACAAGAUCCACAAAGAAAAUGAGGGGAGCCUCAGAAGCAAAAAGAGCCCUUCACUCUAGAGUCUGGAUGAGCUUUCUCACCAGUGUUUUGUUGCAACUAACAAAGUUCAUUGACAAUAAUUUUAUAAAAGGAUUUUAAAUAAGGAUAUUAAGGUGUAAGUGGGAAGAUGGUGACAGAGAGGGGAGAAGAAGAUGGGAUUGAGGGAGGCUUAGCCAAAGCUAAGAUGCAUGAAAAGCCAAAAGCAAUCCUGAUACCUGCUAGGUUCAUUUAAAACUCAAAAAGUUGGAAUUGAGGUAUCCUGGGCAAGUGGAUAAUGCUUCUGCCAGAUGCCACAUUUCCUACGUGAAAAGCCCAGUGUCAAGAGUGGAUUGUGUCUAGGAGUUGGUCAGGAUGGCCCUUAAACUUUCAAAACAUUGUAGGUAAAUGUUGGUUGCACACCACGACUAGAUUAUAUGACCCUGUAGCUGAAGAAGCCACAUGUUCUGGUUACAGCCAUAGAAAAAAACAAACUGGAAGUAGACGGAGGCUUCCUUCCUGCUAGCUCCCCUUCCUUGGGUCAGAGGUGCCAUACAGGCUUGGGUGGAUGGUCAUCCGCAGGCUUUCGUAGCUGUGGACCCUGUGUACAGAGCUACCAGUUGGCCAGACCCAUUAGUCCAGUAGUAGUUUGUUAUGGGAGAAAUCAACCUUUUUGAUGGGGUUUCUUCCAAAGGAGAGAAUCCAUAUCAGAUUCUGUAAACCUCAUGAAAAGCCCUUGGCUAGGGAGGUCGUAUUCCCUAGCGGGGAAACUGCCCAUGCUGUUUUGCUACAUGGACAUGAUACACCUGUCAAAUUACAUCCUAAAUAAUUAUGUUCAUGCUUGUAGAAUAAUGCUGCCAUCAGCUUUGCUCAGAGAAACGUCUUUCUGCAGUGGACAGCAAUAACUGCAGAGUCUCAUAAUGCAUCAAAGGGUUGAGAGUAAGUGUUUGUUGAAUGCUUAGCCAUAAAUGAGAUAUCUAUAUUGCCUUCUCCUAGGCUCAGGGAAAAUUGCAGAAGACAGGGUAAAGAGAAUGUAAGCCUGAGGAAGGACUGGAGUCUUUUGGGCAUGACAUAGCAAUUGGACUUCUGAACUCACAGAAACUGUUGAUUACCUGCACAAGGCACAAGAUGGCGGUCCAUCUAUUGCCUUUCAUGGGGGAGCUUGAAGCUCAUGAGACCCCCACCCUACUGAGGAUCUGUAAGUAGUAAUGGCUUGGAGAGGAAGGAGAAAUGUAGUCUUUAGUGGUGUAGUUACAGAUAAGGUGCCCAUGUUCUUAUAAGCAGCCCUAGUGGAAAACUGGAUCAUUACAAAGAAAAUGGGUAAAGCACUUGUCACACAAACAUGAAGAUGUCAGUUUGAAUUUCUCAACCUUACAUACAGCUAAGUAUGGUAAUGCCUCUGUAGUCCCAGUGCAUCUGUGGAGUCAUAGGAGGUGGAAAGAGGAAAAUCCCUGCAGAACUCAAGACCAGCAGCUAAGUCCACACGAUGUUGAAAAACAGAGGCCCUAUCUCAAGAUGGAAUGUGAUGAUUACCACCCACAGUUGCUGGUUGAUUUCUGUAUGAGCUGUGGUAUGUACAUGCCCCUCUUCAGAGAUGUGACAUCAAAGUAGAAGGGGAUCAGUGGGAGUAAGAAUGCAGUGGGAGCGAUAACAGGUGAAUAUGAUGCAGUGCAUCAUGUACUAUAUAAAAAUCGUAUGUAUAGCUAUUGGUAAGAACACAAGACUCUUUGAAAACCCACACCCUUCUUGGCUUUUCUCUUUUAAUGUAAAUUUCAGAUACAACUUUUUUUUAAAAAUAAACUCCAACCUUACUUCA
Molecule: long non-coding RNA, 12557 nt
Organism: Mus musculus (house mouse)
Lineage: Eukaryota; Metazoa; Chordata; Mammalia; Rodentia; Muridae
Product: predicted gene, 40448
Exons: 2
Source: RefSeq, a predicted model, not a curated record